GGCCAUAUCACAUUGAAACACCUGUUCUCGUAUGAUCAGCGAAGUUAAGCAACGUCGAGCUUGGUCAGUACUUAGAUAAGUAACCGCUUGGGAAUACCAGGUACUGUAA
Non-coding RNA from Acanthosepion pharaonis, 109 nucleotides. NCBI's taxonomy places the organism in Eukaryota, Metazoa, Mollusca, Cephalopoda, Sepiida, Sepiidae. The record is from the annotation of a GenBank genome assembly.